CCUACGGGGGGCAGCAGUGAGGAAUAUUGGUCAAUGGGCGAGAGCCUGAACCAGCCAAGUCGCGUGAAGGAUGACGGCCCUACGGGUUGUAAACUUCUUUUGUCAGGGAGCAAUUGAGUCCACGUGUGGUCUUAGCGAUAGUAACUGAAGAAAAAGCAUCGGCUAACUCCGUGCCUGCAGCCGCGGUAAUACGGAGGAUGCGAGCGUUAUCCGGACUUAGUGGGUGUAAAGGGUGCGUAGGCGGAAUAUCAUGUCAGCGGUAAAAAUUCGGGGCUAAACCCCGUCGUGCCGUUGAUACUGAUGAUCUUGAGUGGGCGAGAAGAAGGCGGAAUGCGUGGUGUAGCGGUGAAAUGCAUAGAUA
This 361-nucleotide ribosomal RNA is filed under the name uncultured bacterium. RNAcentral describes it as "partial 16S ribosomal RNA". It matches the Rfam family "Bacterial small subunit ribosomal RNA", at positions 338 to 696 of the family's 1533-position model. The record is from RNAcentral.